Molecule: small RNA, 28 nt
Filed under: Bombyx mori (domestic silkworm)
Lineage: Eukaryota; Metazoa; Arthropoda; Insecta; Lepidoptera; Bombycidae
Description: ovarian small RNA-26390
Source: RNAcentral
UCAUUUAUAAAACAUGGUGGGCCUUAUU